UCCGGUAAUAUCACGUUGAAACACCGCUUCCCAUAUGAUAAUCGAAGUUAAGCAACGUCGAACCUGGUCAGUACCUUGAUGGGCGACCGCUUGGGUAUACCAGGUACUGCAAG
This is a non-coding RNA of Acanthosepion pharaonis, 113 nucleotides long. Lineage: Eukaryota; Metazoa; Mollusca; Cephalopoda; Sepiida; Sepiidae. The record is from the annotation of a GenBank genome assembly.